Molecule: ribosomal RNA, 1065 nt
Filed under: Triticum aestivum (bread wheat)
Lineage: Eukaryota; Viridiplantae; Streptophyta; Magnoliopsida; Poales; Poaceae
Description: partial small subunit ribosomal RNA
Source: RNAcentral
AUGCCGACCGAGCUGAAGCGCGCUGCGGAGGAUGGUGAUGAUUCCACUUCCACCCGUCUUCGCCGGAAAAUCGUAGUUCCAGAAAAGCCGGUCUAUCUGGUGGUGGAGCACAAGGCGGAGCCAGCGUACUCCAUCCUCAGUGUUGGCACAAUGGCGCCUAAGAUCCCGCUGCACCUCAGCCAACGCGGCAUGUCGUUCACUGCCAUGGAGUCGCCGCAGGGGUCCUGGAUCGUUGGCGUGGGCGGGGACGAGCAGAAUCACACCACCAUCUUCGAUGUCACGGCCUCCAAGGAGUGGCAGGGCCCGUGGCUCCAUACCAAUAAGAUGGAGCCCAUCCUGAUUCCACACCGCGGCCAGCUCUACGUGCUCUCCAGCCGCCCCUCCGUGAAGAGGGGGGCGAUGGGGCUCGACUACCUUCCCUGGUUCGAGCAGAUUAACUUCGAGGACGGCCGCCCUAACCAAGCCGAGGUUUGCCUAGAACUCGAGCCGCCGCCCAUCUUUCCGUGCCGCAUCACCCCGCCUGAGUACAGGAACCCGCCGGCUAUACGCGUUGCCUCUUACGCCAUGGUUGGCUCCCAUAUUUUGCUCUCCGUGCAACUGGACAAUGUGACCAGCCCCGACAAGUUUGCCAGGAAAUACAGGAAAUACAUGGGAACCUGCGGGUACGACGUGGAGAAGAAGGUGUGGGAGAUGGUGCAUGAGAUGAAUCUUCCUUUCCUUGGCCAGGCGGUGCCCCCUCCGCGACCAACUCUUUCUUGCCCGCUCCAAAGAGAGGGACGGCGCUUAUGCAGUGUACUACAUGCAUGUCGGCCCGACCCUGUUCUGGGGGAACUUCUCUUCCCUUUGGGAAGGGGCCGGUUCUCUUCUGUUCACUUUCGAUCUGUCGAUGCUGAGCCGGAGUCCAAGUUGGGCAAACCAAGUGUUGUACAUGGCACCUACUCUAUUGUGAAAGAAAAUUUCGAUGAUGCUAUAAUAAUGAAGCAGCAGCGGCAAGUUUACAAAGUAGCUGAUCGGUCGUGUCCAUUGGCUCAUCCUUUCCCUAUGGUUGCUGCUUUCGCAAUGUAA